AUUGGCUGAAUAUUGCUGUAGGAUGAGUUGGUAUUUACCUUGUACAAGUUUUUGAUUGUAUAUUUAAUGGGAUAAAUCCCAAGCAUAAUGACAAGAAUUUUAAUCCUCAAUAUAGUAUCAGAGCCAUAACCAUUUCUUCCAUUCCCCUCCCACCCCUUGCCUUCUCGAUGUCUGAUCCCAUCGUCCCUCCAAACCCCUAUGCCAUACCCAUCCCACUGUAUGCGCCACAUCCGUCGUCCGCACCCAUCAAACCCCCUACCCUCUCUUCUUCCAACUCUGGUGCCACCAAUCCCCCUCCCCUCCUCCGGUUCCGAUGCCACCAAGCCCCCCCGCCUUCCCUCCUCCCCCCUCGCGCCUCCGGCACCUUCUGCGGCCUCACCGCACGCGACCGCCCCCGUACCCUCCGUGGCCCCACCCUACCAUCGUCGCCUCCAGCUCCCGACUCCCCCAUGACUGCCCUCCUACUGUGGUGCCCUCCGGCUUUCGGCUCCCGCACAUCCACCCCCUGCACCCUUUGUGGCCCC
RNAcentral lists this long non-coding RNA (524 nucleotides) under Elaeis guineensis (African oil palm). RNAcentral describes it as "long non-coding RNA (EGUI_LNC001000)". The record is from RNAcentral. Lineage: Eukaryota; Viridiplantae; Streptophyta; Magnoliopsida; Arecales; Arecaceae.